UCACUUUCACUGCAUUAAUC
This 20-nucleotide non-coding RNA is filed under the name Arabidopsis thaliana (thale cress). Lineage: Eukaryota; Viridiplantae; Streptophyta; Magnoliopsida; Brassicales; Brassicaceae. The record is from RNAcentral.